ACUAUAGUAUAUGCUUGACAUACCCCCACCACGUCCUCCGCACCUCUAUACCUAUCUACACUCAACGGUUUCACUAGCGGAGUCAGCGCCGCAAGUGUCGUUUCGGGCAACCUUAAUUUUAACAGCUUUUCGGUGUCAUACCUUAUGUACAGAGAUGGGACUCCUCUACUCUAGUUUUCAUGGAAGGAAGGUUGCUGUUGUUUGUUAUUGCUGAUCUUGUCAUCAAAGUUUUAACCUAAAAUAUCCAUCAUGGAUUUACUUUAUACCGUUAAUAGAAGAACUCUUUCAAAAGCUCUAGCUAAUCAAGAAAGUCUCUACGAUGUACGGUCCUUAUGUACAUUGUCCAGUCGAAAUAUUGCGGCUUUUACCAGUACUACCGAACUGGAUGACAGCAGUGGAAAGACUUGGGGCUCUCAUGUAUACGUUUGUGAUCUGAAUAUGCCAUGGCAUACACAUAAGUAUGUAUAAUGUAUUAUCCAUUGUACCACUCUACGAAGGAAACAGUAGUAGUCAGCCUUACCAGAUGUAUCUGACAGAUGUUUGAUACAAGGGUAUUAUCCAAUAAGUACAACAUCACUGCCUUAGAAUGGGAUCUACCUGGUGACAAAUUGGUUAUUGCGGAUUCAGCUGGAAGUGUACAAUUGUGGAUAUUUAAAGAUCAUGUUCUUAAUGAUUGGGUGCAAAUUGGUUCUACCUGUUUUUCUGGAGAACAUAUUAUAGGAGCUGCUUGGUUUCACAAUGGCAAAAAGACAGGGCUGGUAACAGAAAAGAAAGAUAGCAUACACUAUAAUGAGAAAUUCAAUCAUCUUCUAUUUGCACCAUCUGUAAGGCAAUUUGGUGGACGAGCAGCAGAAGGAGUUUUGGUGGUAUCAACUACAGGAAUGGUUGGGGCUGUCAUGAUAACAAGGGAUUUCCAAAAUCCUGUUUGCUUUGCUACAGAAAGUUUAGGAAGUACUAGACAUCGAAUUACUGCAGUUGAUUUGUGCUAUGGAAAAAAUGGACAUUUUCUUGUGGCUGUCAGUAGUGGAAGUAUUUGUCUUCCCAUAAGAUGUUAUCGAGUUUUAGUCCGAAAGAAUGAUGAGAAAUGUAGUAUAACUUCACAAGCAUUGCCUAGCUUUUUUCUACAAGAUGGAGCACCAAAAGAUGGCAGCUGCACUAACGUGAUGCAUUUGAAGUUCGUAGUUCGUGAAGACGCGGAUUCUCUCGUUGUGGCAGCAAACAGUGAAAGUGGUGGAUUUGUCGAAGUUUGGGAACUACGAGAAAAAUCUCAACCAGUGCACAAACUCUUUCAACCAAAGACUUUAGAACCAUUUAAGACUGUCGUAUGGCAACAUCAAUCUCAGUAUCGCUGUCAAUGUCCAAUUACUGCCAUAGCUACAACGAAGUUGUCAAUCGUAACGACAGUACCACCACCCAGUUACGUAGUGGUAGCAUUGGCAGAUUCUUCUAUUCAUUAUUUAAAUCGCGAUUGUUUAAAAGAAGUAGCAUAUUCUUCAUUAAACAUGCCAUGGCGACAGGAUGAGCCAAACAAUAAAUAUUUAAAAAAUUCCGUUACCAUUUCACACAUUGAUAUAUCAUGGCUCGGUUGUAUACUGUUGGCCUGUGAUACACAUAGUACGCUAUAUACCUACAAAUUAUUACCAGAAGGAGCCAUAUUUGCUCUAGGCUCAUCGAUGACCUUGAGCUAUGCGUGCACAUUACUAGAAUAUUGUCUGGUUACUGGACUCGAUUGGUUGGAUUUACUGCUGUGUUUGAGAUCUUCCAUGAUUGAAACGCUUUGUGAAAGAUUAGAUGCAUCUUAUAAUAGACAAACACUACCAGUUCAACAAUUUCUUUAUAUACAGUUUCUUUGCAUCAAGACUUCUCUCUAUAGAAUGUUGGUAACGGGACAAAAUAAGGCUGCAGAUCUUUCAUCACUUCUUAUGGUACAUUCUGUAGCGACAGCAUUUAAGUCACUACUUAGGCCUUCUGAUUUAAUUUCUCACGACAAAGGACCUGCAGAGAGCUUAACCGCUGUUAUUACGGAUGCCAUUACGGUGUCGGACAUUGAUAAGGUAUUAUUGCACCUUGAUGGAAAAGAGUUCACUGUGGAGCCCAGUACUCUUCAAUCCUUGCAGCAACUGAUUCAGUGGGUAGCAGACUUGGCAUUGAAUUUAUUAGCGCGGUUACCUGAACAACGAUUGCAAAUGAAGUCCGGUGGUUACGAAUUGCUGAAAGAUCACAAAGCCCUGAACACAGUUCGCGAGUUGCUGGUAAUUAUUCGUAUCUGGGGACUACUUCGUUCUUCUUGUUUACCAGUGUUCGUAAGAAGUGCCGACAAUCUCGAUGUAUUGGCUCUGCUAUUCCGAUUGUUAUCAAAGCAUGUUCAAGCCAAUGGAGAAAUACAGCAGCAAGUAGAUGAUGGUCUAGUCGAUACACCUUUAACUCCAAUGGAUUCUGAAGAAAUUUACAAACUUGCUGAUUCUCCAAGAGGUCAUAAGUCUCCAAUGACUCCUAGAGAAAUAUUCUUCAUGGAUCUCAUGCGUGAAGCUGAAAAAACUGAGCAAUUCAAAAGAGAAUCGCAAAAUGACGAAAAACAAGUACACAAAUUUGAAUUAAACUUAAGAGAAAUGGCACCAAUGAGUUCAUCAGAAACCAAAGAUUCCGGAAUUAAAUUGGAAGUGCAUUCUGCGCAAGUAAGGAACGACGAUACUAAAUUAAAUAAAACGAAAUUGGAAUCACAUUACUUUAUUGCGGACGUAGAAAGCCCUGUAAAUACGAAGACGGAAGUUAGCCUUAAUAUUAAGACACCAGAAUCGGAAAAUACGGAUUGUGGGAUAAAUAUGUGCGAGUGGGCGUUUGCAAAAUGUGAAAAGAAACCCGCUAUUAUUCUUGGUAGCGUCUCCAGAGAAGCAACAAAUUUUAUAUAAAGGACCCAAGUUCUGUUUAAAAAUCAUAAAUAUUUAAUUAAAUUUAAAUUAUAAUCAAAUAUUACUUAGGGAAUAAUCUAUACUUUUAAUGAGUUACAAAAUACAGCUUUUCAUGAAUGUUGUCUUCUACCAAAUCAAAUAAUGAUACCACAACUGCAUCAAGCUAACAGUAUAAUUUGCAUCAGUUCACCGGUUCUCUUUUACCAAAGUUUUCCAUUGCAGUUAGAAUAUGGAAUGGAACCUGAGCAAUUGAUGUAUGUACCCGAAUUAAAUCCAGUAGAAGGUUGCAUGCAUUCAGGACAAAUAAUUGACACAAUUCGGCACUUAUAUUUGGGCAAGCAACCACUCCUAGUAAAACAGUGUACAAG
RNA transcript from Cephus cinctus (wheat stem sawfly), 3277 nucleotides. It is a transcript of the gene named mediator of RNA polymerase II transcription subunit 16, with no coding region annotated. The transcript has 13 exons. Lineage: Eukaryota; Metazoa; Arthropoda; Insecta; Hymenoptera; Cephidae. The record is from RefSeq and is a predicted model, not a curated record.